This is a non-coding RNA of Acanthoscelides obtectus, 73 nucleotides long. NCBI's taxonomy places the organism in Eukaryota, Metazoa, Arthropoda, Insecta, Coleoptera, Chrysomelidae. The record is from the annotation of a GenBank genome assembly.
GGUGCUGUAGACUAACUGGUUAGGUUUGUUCCUCAGAAUGCAUGAGAAGCGGGUUCGAAUCCCGCCUGUGCCU